UACGGAGGAUCCAAGCGUUAUCCGGAUUCACUGGGUUUAAAGGGUGCGUAGGCGGGCAGGUAAGUCCGUGGUGAAAUCUCUGAGCUUAACUCAGAAACUGCCAUGGAUACUAUUUGUCUUGAAUAUUGUGGAGGUGAGCGGAAUAUGUCAUGUAGCGGUGAAAUGCUUAGAUAUGACAUAGAACACCCAUUGCGAAGGCAGCUCACUACACAAUGAUUGACGCUGAGGCACGAAAGCGUGGGGAGCGAACAGG
Molecule: ribosomal RNA, 253 nt
Filed under: uncultured bacterium
Lineage: Bacteria
Description: partial 16S ribosomal RNA
Rfam family: Bacterial small subunit ribosomal RNA
Source: RNAcentral